This 468-nucleotide ribosomal RNA is filed under the name uncultured bacterium. RNAcentral's name for it is "partial 16S ribosomal RNA". It matches the Rfam family "Bacterial small subunit ribosomal RNA", at positions 28 to 507 of the family's 1533-position model. The record is from RNAcentral.
GACGAACGCUGGCGGCGUGCUUAACACAUGCAAGUCGAACGGAGAGGCCCUGCUUUUGUGGGGUGCUCGAGUGGCGAACGGGUGAGUAACACGUGAGUAACCUGCCCUUGACUUUGGGAUAACUUCAGGAAACUGGGGCUAAUACCGGAUAGGAGCUCCUGCUGCAUGGUGGGGGUUGGAAAGUUUCGGCGGUUGGGGAUGGACUCGCGGCUUAUCAGCUUGUUGGUGGGGUAGUGGCUUACCAAGGCUUUGACGGGUAGCCGGCCUGAGAGGGUGACCGGCCACAUUGGGACUGAGAUACGGGCCAGACUCCUACGGGAGGCAGCAGUGGGGAAUAUUGCACAAUGGGCGGAAGCCUGAUGCAGCAACGCCGCGUGCGGGAUGACGGCCUUCGGGUUGUAAACCGCUUUCGCCUGUGACGAAGCGUGAGUGACGGUAAUGGGUAAAGAAGCACCGGCUAACUACGUG